UGAGGAUUGUUUCGAGUUCUAUGUUGGCUGGAUUUUAAAUUAUUCUUCGACAAAUAAUUCGUUUUAUAGUAUGAAUUUGUUUAAAUUUUCUUGGACGUACGUAUUACGGGUUAAGCCAUGAGAUCUCUUAAGCACGAGUCGACGUUACUAACACCAAGGGAUUGAUACAACAACAACAAGCUUACUACUCAAAAUUAUUAAAAUACUUUUCAUAAAUAUACUUGAGUUUUAGACUCGCAAGAUACAUUUGAUUACAUGAGAUCGAUGUUUAUGUUUUUUUAACAAAAGACAAGCUCUGCUCAGAAUAACUACUUGAUACAGUCGAGAGAUAUGCGUACGACAAACCUGACCGAGAUGUUGGUAAAUUUUUUUAGUAAAGUUUUUAUUUUUUUGUUAGUUAUUUAGAUUGAAAUGACUAAAAUUAUGUAAUAUAUACAUAACAUAAUAAUAUCAAUGGCAUAGUGCACAAGUGUGUUGAAUGAUUUUUUUUUUUUGUUAUAAUUUUAAACAUUAUUAUGUAUUAAUUGAAGAACUUAUAGAUGGUUCUCUAGCAGCAGUAAUUUUUAG
This is a long non-coding RNA of Adelges cooleyi (spruce gall adelgid), 567 nucleotides long. RefSeq lists it as uncharacterized. The transcript has 3 exons. NCBI's taxonomy places the organism in Eukaryota, Metazoa, Arthropoda, Insecta, Hemiptera, Adelgidae. The record is from RefSeq and is a predicted model, not a curated record.